GUUUCUGUUGUGCACCUUUCAAGCCAUGCGUGGAUCUUCAGGAAUAACCAGCCCGGUCUCACAGGUAACCACAGAUAUGUCCGAGCUUGACGUCCGUACACUCAGCAUCAGGAGGUGGAGGGGACGGUGGUGGUGACGUUACAACAGCCAUCAAAGCUGCCAAACGGCUGACUGCAGUCGAGUCACACCACUAAAGAUACCUGCAGACAUCUCCACCCGUGAUCGUGGCGACCAAAGUAGCCAAACUGCUCUGUUUUCCAGGAGAGAAAUGGAAAUUUCAAACACAGGUGAGAUUUCCCAUAUGUCUUCAUUUCGUGUCCAACUCCACGGAAACGGAGCAGACGUGAAUGAGAGUGGAGCUGAUGGAUUGCAGCCCGGGUCACGCAUGACUUAGCAUCUUCGUUUUGCUUCCCCUCCUCACGGCGGCGGCGUCGCUGGAAACAACAGCGGAGAUUAUUUACACAGACGCGGGAAAAAGAAAAAAGCUGACGAAUCAUCGCUCUCAUCCCGCGUCGCCCUUCAUCACGCCGGAAUCGAUGACGGAAACUUACCCAGGGACGUCAGCGAACAACAAGCUGUAGAGGCUGAAACAGAAGCACUCUGUGGAGUCACUGCACCAGCCUGAAGAACGAUUCACAUCUCCACGCUGAUGUCAAACUUCUUAAUGUAAAGACACAUUAUCACUGCCAUCUUACAGAGUUCAUCAUUCAUCAUCCCGCGGCUUCAUUUGACUUGUUUUUCACCUUCUAUCGUGAUGUUCUUAUCUACUCCAGUUGUUAAGGAGAAUACUAGAAUGCUGUUUUGUGGAUCCAGAAACUUCCCCCAGUUUUCCAUCUCCGUGUAGGCGAGUAGAUAAUGACUGUGUGAACUGCUCCUUUAAGAGCGAAAGGAUGACAGAAAUAUUAACUCGCAUGUUGUGACGUUCAGCUGUCGAUCAGAUUAACACACAGGACGUUCAGUAAAUCAGACUCAGAGGCUGUAAGGAGAGACGCCGGAUCACGUUCGACAUUUUGGUCCCUUUAUUUCAUGUUAACCACAUUUCAAACAACUAAACAACCAAUGGUAAUGGCAUCACCAGAUCUAAACAACACUUUGCUAGACAAAUAAUCAUCAGAAUAAUAAUUAUACAAAAGAAAUGUACAAAUUCAAGACAAAAAAAACAAACAAAAACAAAUUAAAAAAACAAAAACAAAAACGAAAACAAACAAAAUAUAUAAUACAGAUGAACGGCCAUGAAUCAAGCCAAUAAAAUAAAGCCUUAGUGGAAAAAAACAAAAAAGAAACAAAGAAAAACAUUUCUGGCAUUCACAUCGUCUUCAAUACAACACUCUGACUGUCUUUGUCUUUAUAGGUCCAUUAACGAGCCUGACUGGACUCCAGCGAACAAAUAAAACGUAAGCGCAGACUGAACAGUUUGCCACAACAUUUUGCCACAAAGUAUGUCGGUUCUGGCCAAGAAGAGCAUCGACACUUUACAAACCAAACAAAUGUUACCAGAGAUGACCUUCACCUGAGCGAAGUGUCACUCCAAACUGAGUGAUCAGCUGUCUCCUAACGCUGACACCGAUCUGUAUGAGUUGUUGACGUAAAAUAAAUGAAAUGAUGGGUUAGAAUCAGUUUUGAUUUGAUUAGAAAAGUGCUUCCGUCUUUAGUUUGAGUGACUCAUCCAUGAUGUUUGAAAAUGAAGCCCUUAAUUUGGUGUCUUCUUUACCUCAGACGACGCUGCGUCUGUUCUUUAGUCCCCAGAAAAGACCAACGAAUCCCCAAAUAUCCUCACAGUCCUUUUGACUUCACACAGUUCAGAGGACGCAGAAAUAAGAGUCUUUAAUAUUAGAUUGUUGUUUCGUCUUUCGUCUUUUAAGGGAAAUAUGAAGGUCUGAUCAAAUGAGGAGACAAAGGGGAGCUGAAGUCAGCGGUUUAAUUCUCAUUAAGUCCUUCUCUUUGAGCUGCGGUGGGAUCUGAACUGUCAGCCAUGUUGACCUUCGUUCACCCCGGGGUCGAUCAUUAACUGACAUCAUUUCCUAUCACACCGGGCGGCGAGAUUAAUUUUUAAACCUCGGUGGGUUUAGUGAAAAGCAAAUUUGAGGCUUUGUUUGCAGAGGGAGAGUAAAUGUGACCCGUCGCUUUGUGUUCUCCUCCACUGAAAUGUAUCCAGAAUAUAAAACAUGAAAACGUGGCGCGGCUCACAGUUCUGAGCUAAAGAUAAUUAAUUAACGUGUUUUGAUCACCGUCGGUAGAGUUACUCUCAGUCAUACAUCUCCAGUUCCCAUCAGAAACUUCUGAAAAAUGUAUUCUGAAAUAUUAUCCUAGAGAAAACGCUUAACGGAAAAAAAUGUGUGAUCGUCUCCUGCGUGUUGCUUCGUGUGUUUGAAUGUUCACCUGACAGAAGCUGCGAAACAUCCAGAAGUUCUGUUUGGUUCGUCUCGAUUUCAGUUAGAGAUUUAUCACCGUUUGCUCUUCGUCCUUUCAGCUAUUUCAAGUCAAACCAAGUAUUCACAACCACGGAAACGAAUGGAUGAAAAAGUUGAAUAAAUGACUCUUUGUUUAGUUCUUCUAGAGCCCGACUAAUACUGAAGUUCUGAGGCUGGUGCUGGUACCAGUUUAUGAGAGUGAAUAUAUUCUGAUAUUGAUAUAACACUUGUGACUCGGGCUGCAGCUAAAGAUUAUUGUCAUUAUCAAUUAACCAACUGAUUGUUUUGACGAUUACUCAGCUAAAUGUUUUUUUUCUGCACUGUGAUUUCUGAAAAAAAAAAGUGUCCAUAUCAGACAUCACAUAUGCUGAAACCGAUUUAUCUUGGAUAGGUUCUGAUACUUUCAGUCGGGCUCUAGUUCUUUCACCCGGACUUCAGGGCGACCUGGUCGAGUCAAACGUUAAAUCCGAACAACUUUCUAAAAGUCUCCUUCAAGAAUAAAGAUUUCAUUUCAAUCUUCUUCCUCACCGUAAGUCACUCUGAACGUGGGCGUCAGCUUAAUGUGCAAUAUGCAAAAAUAUAUUUCUUAAUUCUUUCGACGACGUGUCUGAACGGAGCGUUUGUAGGAAGGUAACAUAAGACUUUUGUUUCAAACUAAGACCCACGGCUGAGAACGACACCGACUGCUGUGCAGAGCGAUGGUGUGUUUUGAAAUGAGAACCUUUUGUUUGCGACGUGCCUGGUGUGUGAUGUUUGUCUGUUUGUUUGUUUGACUGUGGUUGUCUUAUCUUAUUUACAGUCAGGGUGGAUGCACACUAUAAGAUUUUGGCAAGACUCACUUCACAUAAAGCCAUCCAGAAACAUUCAUGAUUUUUUUUUUUUUUUUUUCUUUCAGCCUCAAUGAAGAAAAACAAGGUGUUUUCUUAAAGGCGAGGCGGGACUGUUGCUCUUUUGUCUGUUUGAUGCUGUUGUUAUUUAUCACCAUGCAUUGACUCCACGCAUCGUAGCUCGUGACAUGCUACACUAUUUGUAACCAUUUUUUUUUUCCACCCCAUUAAAAGCAAAACUGUUGAUCUGAUGCAGCGUGAAUGAUGAUUUUUUUUCUUUUCUUUUUUUUUUUUUUUUGGUAACCAAUUACUGAAUUACAAGUCUCGUUAGUGUUUAACAUUGAUGCAAUCAAGAGGCCGUAGCUGCGAGGAGAUUCAUCAGCGUUUGAUUUCAAAGAAAAAAAAA
Acanthopagrus latus (yellowfin seabream) is the source of this 3644-nucleotide long non-coding RNA. RefSeq lists it as uncharacterized. Lineage: Eukaryota; Metazoa; Chordata; Actinopteri; Spariformes; Sparidae. The transcript has 4 exons. The record is from RefSeq and is a predicted model, not a curated record.